This is a long non-coding RNA of Lolium rigidum, 678 nucleotides long. RefSeq lists it as uncharacterized. The transcript has 4 exons. The record is from RefSeq and is a predicted model, not a curated record. Lineage: Eukaryota; Viridiplantae; Streptophyta; Magnoliopsida; Poales; Poaceae.
CUCACGCUGCCUAUAGAAACCUGGGGUUUCUGGCUGGGCAUCGACAAUGGCGGCGGAUGCACCCCUGGAGUCAGCCUUUUCCACUUGUCUCUCGUGCCCAAGUAGACCUGUGGUGACCUUGCUUGGCAGCGAAUGAGGGGCGCUAAUGGUGUCGCCUGAGAGGACACCGAAUGAGGGGCGCUAAUGUCCUGUCCUCCCGUCCUGCUCAGCAUCAGAUAUGGCGAUGAGCUUCUCGCGCUGCCUAUUGAAACCUGGGCUUUCUGGCUGGGCACCGACAUUGGCGGCAGAUGCACCCCUGGAGCCAGCCUUCCACUUAUCUCUCGCGCCUAAGUAGACUGGUCGUGACCUUUGCUUGGCAGCGGAUGAGAGGCGCUGCGGGUGCCGCCAGAGAGGACACACCACUAUCUCGUCAUCUUGUCCUUCUCAGCAUCAACUAUGGCGAUGAGGUGCUUCCUUUUGGUUUGUCAGUCAUCUUUCCACAACAAUCUUGCUAGCUUCGUUGAUUGGAUGGUGGUGUGAUGGGUGCUGAAUAUUUCACUCAAGUUUCCAUGGUACACACAGUGGCCUCUUCCUGAACGUCGAUAUCUCAACUACAAUGAUUGCUAAACCCGGUCCUUCACCGACUUCUUCUUGCAAACCAGAAAGUUAACUGCCCUGACAGAAUUGACUGGCAAAAGG